RNAcentral lists this ribosomal RNA (439 nucleotides) under Leucobacter tardus. RNAcentral's name for it is "bacterial SSU rRNA". It matches the Rfam family "Bacterial small subunit ribosomal RNA", at positions 149 to 598 of the family's 1533-position model. The record is from RNAcentral. Lineage: Bacteria; Bacillati; Actinomycetota; Actinomycetes; Micrococcales; Microbacteriaceae.
GCUGGAAACGGCGUCUAAUACUGGAUACGAGCAGCGACCGCAUGGUCAGUUGCUGGAAAGACUGGUUCGGUGAUGGAUGGACUCGCGGCCUAUCAGCUUGUUGGUGAGGUAAUGGCUCACCAAGGCGACGACGGGUAGCCGGCCUGAGAGGGUGACCGGCCACACUGGGACUGAGACACGGCCCAGACUCCUACGGGAGGCAGCAGUGGGGAAUAUUGCACAAUGGGCGCAAGCCUGAUGCAGCAACGCCGCGUGAGGGAUGACGGCCUUCGGGUUGUAAACCUCUUUUAGUAGGGAAGAAGCCUUCGGGUGACGGUACCUGCAGAAAAAGCACCGGCUAACUACGUGCCAGCAGCCGCGGUAAUACGUAGGGUGCAAGCGUUGUCCGGAAUUAUUGGGCGUAAAGAGCUCGUAGGCGGCUUGUCGCGUCUGCUGUGAA